GAACUGUCAGUUCUCAGUGGCAUCAAGCAAAGCACGCGAAAACAUUUAGAUUCAGUAGUGCAAACACUUCAAUUAGAAUUACGAAUUUUAUGAUUUGGUCCCUCGAUAAGGUUGAUCGGUUGAAGAAGAACGAUUCGCAGAAAAGAGAUGUCUCUCAUUCUGGAGAAUAAAAAUUACAUACACCGGACUUCAAAUCAGCUACCGAAAAUACACCCAAUACUUUACCGGAUUCGUCGGACAACACAUAUGAACUGGUUCCAACUCGGGUUAGCACCACACACGGGACAUACAAGGCAUCCAAUUUCGCGUUGUAAGAGUCCGCUGCGGAAGACUGCCGGAAAU
Molecule: long non-coding RNA, 342 nt
Organism: Wyeomyia smithii (pitcher-plant mosquito)
Lineage: Eukaryota; Metazoa; Arthropoda; Insecta; Diptera; Culicidae
Exons: 3
Source: RefSeq, a predicted model, not a curated record